This 673-nucleotide ribosomal RNA is filed under the name uncultured archaeon. RNAcentral describes it as "partial 16S ribosomal RNA". The record is from RNAcentral.
GUCUACAUCCGUCGUGACUCCAAUGAACCGCAGGCUUCACCCCUUGUGGUGCUCCCCCGCCAAUUCCUUUAGUUUCAUUACUUGCGUACGUACUUCCCAGGCGGCAGACUCAACGGCUUCCCUGCGGCACUGCAUUGGCCACAAGCCAAUGCGUCACCGAGUCUGCAUCGUUUACAGCUGGGACUACCCGGGUAUCUAAUCCGGUUUGCUCCCCCAGCUUUCAUCCCUCACCGUCGAACGUGUUCUGGUACACCGCCUUCGCCACAGGUGGUCAUCAAUAGAUCAAAGGAUUUUACCCCUUCCUAUUGAGUACCGUGUACCUCUCCCACUCCCUAGCUGCACAGUAUUUUCGGCGGCCUAUACGUUGAGCGCAUAGAUUUAACCGAAAACUUAUGCAACCGGCUACGGAUGCUUUAGGCCCAAUAAACCUCCUGACCACUCGAGGUGCUGGUUUUACCGCGGCGGCUGACACCAGAACUUGCCCACCCCUUAUUCACCAGUGAUUCUACAACUGACAAAAGACUCCUUUAGCAGGAGACACUCGGAUUAACCUUGUCGUGCUUUCGCACAUUGCAAAGGUUUCUCGCCUGCUGCGCCCCAUAGGGCCUGGGUCCGUGUCUCAGUACCCCAUCUCCGGGCCCCUCCUCUCAGAGCCCGUUACCUGUUAUAGCCU